GAGGGUUGCCUGGACUCCACGAGGUGAAUUUCCAGCUCCAUGGCAUGUCAUCUGGCGUUCCUCUGGGCUGGAGGAACUUCCACAAACACCAGAGCGUGUGGGUCUUGCAUUCUUUGCAUGGCCUUCUUGACUGUUCCUCAUCCUCCUCUCAUCCAAAUGCGUUCCCACAAAACUCUAAAAUGAACAGAUUCCUGAGCCUCACAGACCAAGGCCAGCCGUGAUGGUCCUAUCUUCUACUUCUGUUCUGUCCAGCGUGGCAGCCACCACUGACCUGUGACUCUUGAAACGUGCCUAGUCUGAACGGAGAUGCUCGUAAGGGUAGAACACACCCCAGAUUUGGAAGUUGUAGUGCUAGCUAUCUCAUUAAUUACUGUUCCUACUAAUUACACACCGAGUGAUAAUAGUUUGGAUAAAUGAGUUAAAUAAAUAAUUAAAAUUAAUUUUCAAUUUCCUUUCCUUUUUUCUAAAAUGUGACUCCUAGAAAAUCUUAAAUUAUGGAUCCGGGAGGCAAAGGUGAGCAGUGGCCACUGCGCUUUGAAGGUCAUCAUUUGGGUCAAGGCUGUUCCAGUCGGUCCUUGCUCUUGCCCCUGAUCAUUCCCGACA
This is a long non-coding RNA of Lutra lutra (Eurasian river otter), 603 nucleotides long. RefSeq lists it as uncharacterized. The record is from RefSeq and is a predicted model, not a curated record. NCBI's taxonomy places the organism in Eukaryota, Metazoa, Chordata, Mammalia, Carnivora, Mustelidae. The transcript has 3 exons.